GACGAACGCUGGCGGCGUGCUUAACACAUGCAAGUCGACCGGAGAAGCUCCAGCUAGCUGGCGUGGAUCAGUGGCGAACGGGUGAGUAACACGUGAGCAACCUGCCCCUGACUCUGGAAUACGCGCUGGAAACGGCGUCUAAUACUGGUUACGAGAAGGCUCCGCAUGGGCACUUUCUGUAAAGUUAUUCGGUUGGGGAUGGGCUCUCAGCCUAUCGGCUUGUUGGUGAGGUAAUGGCCCACCAAGGCGACGACGGGUAGCCGGCCUGAGAGGUCGAGCAGCCAGACUGGGACUAGAAUACGGCGCAGAGCCCUAGGGGAGGCAGUAGCGGGGAAGGAUGCACAAUGGGGGAAAGCCGGCGGCAGAGACGCGGCGGGAGUGAGGACGGAAUUCGGUGUGGAAACAGCAUUCAGCAGGGAAGAAGCGAAAGUGACGGUACCUGAAGAAGAAGCACCGGCUAACUACGUG
This 468-nucleotide ribosomal RNA is filed under the name uncultured bacterium. RNAcentral describes it as "partial 16S ribosomal RNA". It matches the Rfam family "Bacterial small subunit ribosomal RNA", at positions 28 to 507 of the family's 1533-position model. The record is from RNAcentral.